CAUGGUGCUGCUGGCUGGGACUCGGCCGCAGGGUGGCGGGGCGCGCUGCAUGAUCCCGCCACCGCCAUCCCCACUCCUAGGCGCACAGGUCGAGGAGGACCGCACUGAAUUCAAAGAGUUCCAGGACUUCUCCAGUCUGCCCGACACUCGCAGCGUCGCCUCUGACGACUCUUUGUACCCUUUCCAGGACGAGGAGGAGCACGGCGUCGAGGGCGUGGAGAGCGUACCGGAGGAGGGCGUCCUGGAGGCGCGGGGCAGAGGCGGACGCUGGUGCGGUGUGGGGUGAGCUUUAAGAAGGCGCGGGAGACUGACCACAAUGGCUGGACUGGCCUUAAUGUCGCCUGAUACCACGACUUUGUGGAUAUACCGUGGUGGCCUUAGCUGAGUACCCCCACAUUGAUGUCAACUGGCAGGACAGGGAGGGGAACGCAGCCCUAAUCAUAGCUGCACAGGCUGUUCUGGCCCAGUCAGGGCACGCUAUCAUCACCAACUACUUGUUGAACUAUGUCCUGGGUCUUGACCUUGAAGGAGGGAUGCGUUUGGGUUGAAAGCCGCCAUGCAGGGUCGAACCGAUCACAUCGGAGCCCUGAGCUAGUAGGGGCGGGUGUCCACACGAGGGUCCCUGCCGUGGGAUGUCGCCAGAGGAGUGGCCACUUACACGUCCGCCUCAUGCAGAGGCUCCUGGAGCGCCCCUGCCGGGAGCGGUUGGGGGAAAAGUACCAGCUUGAGCUGCCUCCGCUCCACGAGAGGGCGCAGAAGCCCGAGGGCUCCAAAAACUGCCUGCCUGCAGAGGGUCAGGAACUGCGAGCUGUCCGCGCUGACGCCGGGCGCCGUGCGUGGCCCAGAGGACCGGGGCGCCCUGGACCACAUAGUCAGGAUGACCACGAGCCUCUAACAGCCCCGCCGUGGCCUUCGCGUGCCAGACCGUGUGCCCCGAGAGGACCCUGUGCGUGGGGAAGAGGCGGCUGGCGGUGCAGGAAAUCCUGGCGACUCAGGAAAUUCUGGCGGCGCGGCGUGGGGUCGGUGGGGGCGGCAGGCGCAGGUGGCGGGCGAAACGGAGGGCGCAGAGCAGCACAAGCGGCCUGGCCUAGAGGCGGCGGGCUCCCGUGAGGAAUCCCCAAGAGCCGGCCUCCCACCUGCCCCGCUGCCGGGGUCCUGGGGCUCUGCCGACCCCUCCCUGCGGAAGGCCAGCCUCCUGCCCCUGCAGCGCCUGCGGCGGAGCAGCUUGUGGCCAGGCAUGGUGGUGCCCCGGGUCCGCCUCAGCAAGGCACCCGCGCCCACCUUCCAGCCCAAGAGGGCAGCGCGGAAGGGCAGCACCAAGGACAGCGGCCACCUGCAGAUACCCAAGUGGCAUAACAAGGUGGCCAAGGAGGAGAAACCCGAGGCGGAGGAGGCCGAGAAGAAGCGCCAGGCCAAGGUGCAGGAGAAGCGCCCGCUGCCCUGGAAGAAGAGGACGUGA
This 1459-nucleotide long non-coding RNA is filed under the name Homo sapiens (human). Its description in RNAcentral is "non-protein coding lnc-TRIM49D1-5:1". The record is from RNAcentral. Lineage: Eukaryota; Metazoa; Chordata; Mammalia; Primates; Hominidae.